GACGAACGCUGGCGGCGUGCUUAACACAUGCAAGUCGAACGGUAAGGCCCUUCGGGGUACACGAGUGGCGAACGGGUGAGUAACACGUGGGUGAUCUGCCCUGCACUUCGGGAUAAGCCUGGGAAACUGGGUCUAAUACCGGAUAGGACCACUGCCUGCAUGGGUGGUGGUGGAAAGCUUUUGCGGUGUGGGAUGGGCCCGCGGGCUAUCAGCUUGUGGGUGGGGUGAUGGCCUACCAAGGCGACGACGGGUAGCCGGCCUGAGAGGGUGACCGGCCACACUGGGACUGAGAUACGGCCCAGACUCCUACGGGAGGCAGCAGUGGGGAAUAUUGCACAAUGGGCGGAAGCCUGAUGCAGCGACGCCGCGUGAGGGAUGACGGCCUGCGGGUGGUAAACCUCUUUCAGCACCGACGAAGCGCAAGUGACGGUAGGUGCAGAAGAAGGACCGGCCAACUACGUGCCAGCAGCCGCAGUAA
Molecule: ribosomal RNA, 478 nt
Filed under: uncultured bacterium
Lineage: Bacteria
Description: partial 16S ribosomal RNA
Rfam family: Bacterial small subunit ribosomal RNA
Source: RNAcentral